AUAAGGAUCAAGCUGAGCGAAUUCUGCAACACGGUCUUGUGGUAAAAAAUGACAAAGAUUAUUCAAUUGUACAUUGAAAGUAUCCAUUAGAGACGUUAUUGAAGAAGUGGCACAUGCUUCCCUAUUAAUAGAGAAAGAACUACUCUUAUCCUGGCUUAUUUGUCUCGUGAUAGUAACCGUUUCAUCGUCACGAUACUUCAUUUCAAUUUCUAUGGUUGCAGUG
Non-coding RNA from Schizosaccharomyces pombe (fission yeast), 223 nucleotides. Lineage: Eukaryota; Fungi; Ascomycota; Schizosaccharomycetes; Schizosaccharomycetales; Schizosaccharomycetaceae. The record is from the annotation of a GenBank genome assembly.